RNAcentral lists this ribosomal RNA (522 nucleotides) under uncultured soil bacterium. RNAcentral's name for it is "bacterial SSU rRNA". It matches the Rfam family "Bacterial small subunit ribosomal RNA", at positions 8 to 524 of the family's 1533-position model. The record is from RNAcentral.
AGAGUUUGAUCCUGGCUCAGGAUGAACGCUAGCGGCAGGCUUAACACAUGCAAGUCGAGGGGCAGCACGAUGUAGCAAUACAUUGGUGGCGACCGGCGCACGGGUGCGUAACACGUAUGGAACUUGCCCUAUACUGGGAGAUAGCCCGGAGAAAUCCGGAUUAAUAUCCCAUAACAAGUGAGGUGGCAUCAUCUUGCUUUGAAAGCUCCGGCGGUAUAGGAUGGCCAUGCGCACGAUUAGCUAGUUGGUGAGGUAACGGCUCACCAAGGCUACGAUCGUUAGGGGGCCUGAGAGGGUUAUCCCCCACACUGGUACUGAGACACGGACCAGACUCCUACGGGAGGCAGCAGUGAGGAAUAUUGCGCAAUGGAGGCAACUCUGACGCAGCCAUGCCGCGUGCAGGAAGAAGGCGCUACGCGUUGUAAACUGCUUUUAACCGGGAAGAAACCCCAGGACGUGUCCUGGGUUGACGGUACCGGAGGAAUAAGCACCGGCUAACUACGUGCCAGCAGCCGCGGUAAU